RNAcentral lists this long non-coding RNA (2072 nucleotides) under Sus scrofa (pig). RNAcentral's name for it is "lncRNA (ENSSSCG00070025306.1)". The record is from RNAcentral. Lineage: Eukaryota; Metazoa; Chordata; Mammalia; Artiodactyla; Suidae.
GUAAAAUGUAAAACCAUCAUAUGGUAUUUUCACAACUUGGAGAAAGAUGUAUUACAGCAAACAAUCUCACUGGUAUUAAAGUGCUAAAAACUUGAACUCUUCCAGUUGUGAGGUAAUAAAAUAUAGCUAAGCUUUCCUAGCAAAGAGGGGGAAAAACUGAAAACCAGCUACUCAAGAUUGCAUAUGGAGCGAUGCUAAGGAGAGACAGAAUUUCAUCCAGAGCUGCUGAAAUCCAGGCGUGUGUUACACCACCAUCUCCCCUCCAGCCUGCAAUCCAUCAACCAUCUCCACCUUACUCUUCACACUUAGGAUUAUGAUCAAGUCUAUGUACUAAAGGGGGAAAGACCAAACAAACAUUACACUGAAAGUGUCCCUGCUUUGAACCAGCAGGAGAUUCCAGUUACUUCACUGGAACUGGUUAAGCGGCUGAAAUGAAAUGGGUGCUAGGAGAGAUCACCACGUCAGGACAGAGACUUGAUUUUCAGGGUUGGAGGAGAUCAGACGAAGACGAAUGAGAUUCUGAGUCUUAGUACAAGGUCAAGGCCCCCGGAAUUACAAAGAGCUGGUGGGUCAGUGAGGGGGCCUGUGGGUUGGGAAGCGGCAAAAACUAGCGCCAAAAAAGAAAACCCUGAACUAAUUUGUUAGUAGGUAAAUGCACUCAGAGCGGUGACGAGCAGCCCCAACGCUCGCUGAGAUCCUCAGAGUUUUACAAACCGACCCUCCUGAAAUUUCAAGGGCUUGGAUCCCUCGUAAGUCAUUAUCUACUAUAUGGUACCCUAGUUUCCCGAACAGGCUACCUGCCCCUGACCCUUUUCCCACGACCUUGGCUCCUCCUCGGCCUACAGCGCCCCCGGGGCUCCUCUCAGCCUCCCACACAGACAGACAGAACGACCGGACAGUGCGGCGGGGGCCAACCCAAUUCCCCCACUCCAUCAGGACGCCCACUCCAUCCAGGCGGCCAGGAACCCCCGGAACCCGAAAACCGCAGAGCGCCGCACUCGCCCGCCGCCUGUGCGGCCGCCAGGUCUCGGUGAUUGUCCGGUGUGACCCAGCUCAAAGCCAACGAAUUUGAAGAGGAAGCGGAAGGCCUCAAGAGAUAAGAUGAGAGGAGAAAGGGAACAGCUCUCAUCCUCACCUCAGAUCAGACCCCUGCCCCCCUGCCUCUGGACGCACUCAGGUGCUGAUAGAAUGUCUGGAACUGCAGCAGGAUCUUGAGACCAGGAGAAGCAGCCCAGAAGAAUGAAAGCCAUACACAAAUACUGAACUUACCCCAUAAGGAUGACUCCACGUGCACGUAAGGGGUAAAUCCUUGUGGUCUGAGGACCAAGAAAAUUAGCAUCACUUGGAUCUUGUUAGAAAUACGAAAUCUCAGGCCCCACUCCAGACUGGCUGAACACCCAGAUUAGCAAGCUCCCCAGAUGAUUCAGUUGUGUUUUACAGUUUGAGAAGCUCUAGCUCAAACUCCUGUUGGUUGGAUUUUUCUGAUACUUCAGUUGAAUAUUUUGGAACUUGUGAGCGGAAAAAAGUAGUGAGUGAUCAAAGGAUUGAAGAUUCUGAAGAGAAUUAAGUGAAUAUGGAAGGAUGAGACCAAGAAUGCAAAUGAAGUUGCCAGAUGGCCUGGGUCUCCAUGAGGAGAGAGCAGAAAUCACCCAUUCAGAGUAAAUAUAAGAAAGAGGAAAUGGUGGGGAGUUUCUUAGCAACUCAGGUGGGGAAUAUCAGAAAUCCUGCAUGACAGCUCAUCAGGGGAGUUGGACAGCUUGAAUAAGAGGUCCAUGGAUCUAACUUUUCCUGCACUCUAAAAGCCCCAGAACUGAGAGAGCAGACAGCUUCAAAUUAACCCAGUGGGAACUUAGGGGGACCAAGGUCACAAUUAAGGUCAUCACUGAAAGGCUGACCAUGGAGCACGUGGUGGAUUAAAACUAUGGUGGACAAACACAAGUAAACCACUUGAGUUCAGUGGGGAGAGUUUCAAGCAUGCAGUCCUGGGAAGGAAGGCCUAAGAGAAUGUUCAGUAGUGGCAGUAGAGGAAUAUCAGGAAAAAAAAAAAAAAAAAAAUAUAUAUAUAUAUAUAU